RNAcentral lists this ribosomal RNA (156 nucleotides) under Derxomyces pseudohuiaensis. Its description in RNAcentral is "5.8S ribosomal RNA". It matches the Rfam family "5.8S ribosomal RNA". From Rfam's summary of the family: 5.8S ribosomal RNA (5.8S rRNA) is a component of the large subunit of the eukaryotic ribosome. Lineage: Eukaryota; Fungi; Basidiomycota; Tremellomycetes; Tremellales; Bulleribasidiaceae. The record is from RNAcentral.
CAACUUUCAACAACGGAUCUCUUGGCUCUCGCAUCGAUGAAGAACGCAGCGAAAUGCGAUAAGUAAUGUGAAUUGCAGAAUUCAGUGAAUCAUCGAAUCUUUGAACGCAAAUUGCGCUCUUUGGUAUUCCGAAGAGCAUGCCUGUUUGAGUGUCAU